Equus quagga is the source of this 782-nucleotide long non-coding RNA. RefSeq lists it as uncharacterized. The transcript is spliced from 6 exons. The record is from RefSeq and is a predicted model, not a curated record. NCBI's taxonomy places the organism in Eukaryota, Metazoa, Chordata, Mammalia, Perissodactyla, Equidae.
CCGGGCGGGCGGGCGGCCAGGCUGGCCUAGGCCAAAGCUCCUCACCUGGCGGUGGCGGUGGAACUCCCGGCUAGCUCGCCUCCUCAGGCGGCGGCGGAGGCGUCGAAAAAGGAAGAGGCGACGGCACAGAGACGGGAUGCCGGAACUACACCCCACCCUUGAAGAGUGAGUGGCUGGAGAAGUGAUGAUUGGCCUCCUUUAGAACACUGGAAAAGCAUCCCACCAUGCUUGAGACAGGAUGGGAAAGGGUCCUCUGGCUGAAGGUCCCAGAAUUCAGAAGUAGUACUUUUCUCUUCAUCCACUGAUCUCUACCCCCAGGAAUUUGCACUAAAGGCUCAUGAAAGAAAGGGAGAACUACCAGUGGGCCAGAGGGACUAGAAAAAUGAUGCUCCCUUCCUGAUGCCCACAUGCAGCGAGCCCUUAAUCCUUGUCCCUAUCUUCCUGGCGCUAUCCCCAGGCUGAGACCGUGGUUGGAAGAGUAUUGCCUGCAGUUAGAGCAACUAAGAAGGCCUAGGAUGACUGCCAGGGCUCCCAGGAUGCAUGAGGUCUGCCGACACCAGCUACUAGGGAGAGGGUAUCAUCCGCGUGGAGAGGACUGAAAGACACAGAGCCAGGAGAUGAGGAUGGAAGCACACAGGAAGCAGGAUCACAUGGAGAACACCCAAUGCCAACCACCAGGCCAGCCCCAGCUCUCCAUGCCUCUCCCUGCCUGCGCCUGGCUACUCCAUCCCAAGCCAUGUCACCAGUCCCUACCCACCUGUCUGGGAGCUGCCUGUCUUUUG